RNAcentral lists this transfer RNA (68 nucleotides) under Marmota monax (woodchuck). RNAcentral describes it as "tRNA.Ala". The record is from RNAcentral. Lineage: Eukaryota; Metazoa; Chordata; Mammalia; Rodentia; Sciuridae.
GGAUUAUGGCUCAGUGGUAGAGCACUUGCCUCGCUCGUGUGAGGCACUGGGUUUGAUUCUCAGUGCCA